UGCGUAGGGCGCAAGCGUUGUCCGGAAUUAUUGGGCGUAAAGAGCUCGUAGGUGGUUUGUCGCGUCUGUCGUGAAAGCCCGGGGCUUAACUCCGGGCCUGCAGUGGGUACGGGCAGACUAGAGUGCGGUAGGGGAGACUGGAAUUCCUGGUGUAGCGGUGAAAUGCGCAGAUAUCAGGAGGAACACCGGUGGCGAAGGCGGGUCUCUGGGCCGUAACUGACGCUGAGGAGCGAAAGCGUGGGGAGCGAACAGG
RNAcentral lists this ribosomal RNA (253 nucleotides) under uncultured bacterium. RNAcentral's name for it is "partial 16S ribosomal RNA". It matches the Rfam family "Bacterial small subunit ribosomal RNA", at positions 524 to 776 of the family's 1533-position model. The record is from RNAcentral.